RNAcentral lists this ribosomal RNA (357 nucleotides) under Triticum aestivum (bread wheat). RNAcentral's name for it is "partial small subunit ribosomal RNA". Lineage: Eukaryota; Viridiplantae; Streptophyta; Magnoliopsida; Poales; Poaceae. The record is from RNAcentral.
AUGAAAGUUGCUCAGAACAACGAGACGAAUCUGGAUACGCAGCCCGUUCGUCCGCCACGCGUCCCUAGCAUAGUGAACCUGCAACAUUUCACCUCAGGUUCAUCUGUCCGAAAACAUGGAACACCGGGGAUACUUUCCCGGAUGUUUCCCCCCUUCACCGGUAUCACCUCAGACCGCGUUAGAACACGUCUAGCUCUGCUUGUUGCCCUGAUAUGCAUCUGUUUGCAUGGUAUUCAUUGUUUCUUCCCCCUCUUCUCUCUGGUAGACUACGAGACUGACGUUGCUGCUGCCCAGUUGGACUACGGAGUUGACGACCACUCUCCCUUGCCAGAGCAACCAGGCAAGCCCCCCCCUUGA